This 253-nucleotide ribosomal RNA is filed under the name uncultured bacterium. Its description in RNAcentral is "partial 16S ribosomal RNA". It matches the Rfam family "Bacterial small subunit ribosomal RNA", at positions 524 to 776 of the family's 1533-position model. The record is from RNAcentral.
UACGGGGGGGGUAAGCGUUGUUCGGAAUUACUGGGCGUAAAGGGCUCGUAGGCGGCCAACUAAGUCGGACGUGAAAUCCCUCAGCUUAACUGGGGAACUGCGUCCGAUACUGGAUGGCUUGGAUUUGGGAGAGGGAUGCGGAAUUCCAGGUGUAGCGGUGAAAUGCGCAGAUAUCAGGAGGAACACCGGUGGCGAAGGCGGGUCUCUGGGCAAUAACUGACGCUGAGGAGCGAAAGCGUGGGGAGCGAACAGG